CGGGAUUGUGAUUAGUUUCCUUUAUUGGAAGUDUGUCACGAGAACUUGUCUAAACCUUAUCAUUUAGAGGAAGGUGAAGUCGUAACAAGGUUUCCGUAGGUGAACCUGCGGAAGGAUCA
Molecule: ribosomal RNA, 119 nt
Filed under: Pseudo-nitzschia pungens var. aveirensis
Lineage: Eukaryota; Bacillariophyta; Bacillariophyceae; Bacillariales; Bacillariaceae
Description: partial 18S ribosomal RNA
Rfam family: Eukaryotic small subunit ribosomal RNA
Source: RNAcentral